GAUGAACGCUAGCUACAGGCUUAACACAUGCAAGUCGAGUGGUAACGAGAGGAAAGCUUGCUUUCCUUGUCGACGACCGGCGCACGGGUGAGUAACACGUAUCCAACCUGCCCCCAACUAGGGAAUAACCUUGCGAAAGUAAGACUAAUACCCUAUAAUUUCCUCAGAUGUCAUCUGACGAGGAAUAAAGAUUUAUCGGUUGUGGAUGGGGAUGCGUCUGAUUAGCUUGUUGGCGGGGUAACGGCCCACCAAGGCAACGAUCAGUAGGGGUUUUGAGAGGAAGGUCCCCCACAUUGGAACUGAGACACGGUCCAAACUCCUACGGGAGGCAGCAGUGAGGAAUAUUGGUCAAUGGGCGGAAGCCUGAACCAGCCAAGUAGCGUGCAGGAUGACGGCCCUAUGGGUUGUAAACUGCUUUUAUACAGGAAUAAAGUUAGCCACGUGUGGUUAUUUGUAGGUACUGUAUGAAUAAGGACCGGCUAAUUCCGUGCCAGCCGCCGCAGUAA
Molecule: ribosomal RNA, 506 nt
Filed under: uncultured bacterium
Lineage: Bacteria
Description: partial 16S ribosomal RNA
Rfam family: Bacterial small subunit ribosomal RNA
Source: RNAcentral